ACCGAAUAGAUACCCGGGUAGUCCACGCCGUAAACUAUGAACGCUAGCCCGUUGGCGAGCUUGCUCGUCAGUGGCGCAGCUAACGCAUUAAGCGUUCCGCCUGGGGAGUACGGCCGCAAGGUUGAAACUCAAAGAAAUUGACGGGGGCCCGCACAAGCGGUGGAGCAUGUGGUUUAAUUCGACGCAACGCGCAGAACCUUACCAGGGUUUGACAUCCCGAGACCGCUGCUGAAAGGCAGUUUCCCGCAAGGGCUCGGAGACAGGUGCUGCAUGGCUGUCGUCAGCUCGUGUCGUGAGAUGUUGGGUUAAGUCCCGCAACGAGCGCAACCCUCGCCUUUAGUUGCCAUCAUUAAGUUGGGCACUCUAGAGGGACCGCCGGCGACAAGCCGGAGGAAGGUGGGGAUGACGUCAAGUCCUCAUGGCCCUUACACCCUGGGCUACACACGUGCUACAAUGGCGGUGACAGUGAGCAGCUAACUCGCGAGAGUAUGCUAAUCUCCAAAAA
This 505-nucleotide ribosomal RNA is filed under the name uncultured bacterium. RNAcentral describes it as "bacterial SSU rRNA". It matches the Rfam family "Bacterial small subunit ribosomal RNA", at positions 772 to 1281 of the family's 1533-position model. The record is from RNAcentral.